Molecule: ribosomal RNA, 301 nt
Filed under: uncultured bacterium
Lineage: Bacteria
Description: partial 16S ribosomal RNA
Rfam family: Bacterial small subunit ribosomal RNA
Source: RNAcentral
CAGUCGCCGCGGUAAUACGUAGGGUGCAAGCGUUAAUCGGAAUUACUGGGCGUAAAGCGUGCGCAGGCGGUUUUGUAAGACAGAGGUGAAAUCCCCGGGCUCAACCUGGGAACUGCCUUUGUGACUGCAAGGCUAGAGUACGGCAGAGGGGGAUGGAAUUCCGCGUGUAGCAGUGAAAUGCGUAGAUAUGCGGAGGAACACCGAUGGCGAAGGCAAUCCCCUGGGCCUGUACUGACGCUCAUGCACGAAAGCGUGGGGAGCAAACAGGAUUAGAUACCCAGUAGUCCCUGUCUCUUAUACC